GUUACUACAUCUUAAACAAUCCAAGCCAUUUGCACUAUGAAGGCUGCCAAGACUUUUACAAAUAAAGGUUUGCUGGGACAUGAAGGUGAGCAUGGUUGACUGGAAGGACUUGAUGGGAUUGAUAACAGCAGUGAUGUAUAAUCGAGAAGUUGCAGUCUCAGGGGGAAGUAGUAAGAGGAGGAGGAAGACAGGAAGGGAAAGAAAGUAACAAAAGCAAGGAUUAUAGCCCUUCCACCUCUGCUGGGCAGUGACAAGGAACCAGUAGCCUCGAGAAGCAGAUUCUCAACCAGCAGACAAAAAGGAAGAGUGAGGGAUGAAAUGCUAGACAUUUUGACUAAAGCCAAUGAACAGCUUGGUAAUCAGAGAGAGAAGGAAGAGAUUGGCAGCACAGUCCCUGGACCAUGACUAGUGGCUGAGGGAGGAAGACAGAGCACAGCAGAAGGAGCUUUUUGAGAAGUUGCUCACUCUCCUCACCACCAGGCUUCAGGAUCUAACUCCACAUACCGAGUCCCCUCCACAUUACCAUGUCCUGUAGCCUGCGCAGCCUUUGGACAAUCCUGGGUUUGACUGCUCAAUGGCUUAAGUAACAAACGGAAGGAACCAAAAACCUAUCGAGAAAAGUGAUAAGGGGAGACCUCGGAGCCCAGCAAGGGAAGGCAGAUUUUAACAAGUAAGCAGAGUUUGAUCCAAUGGAAGUACACCAGGGACAAUUCAAGAGUCGGAUCAAAAUAUACUGGCAUUACUAGUGCAACUUUAUCACCCAGUCUUUACUUUGGCUUUAUCUGUACAGUCUGUGCAUUGAUUUAACAGCCCCCUCAAGUGGGGACACUCAAAUCAGUUGAAGAAUAUCCAUGCACAAAGCUGUACUACAGCUUUGUCUAGACUAGGAUUUAACAAGUGUGAUCCAGUUGCUAGCUCAGUUUAACUAACUCAUCUAAAACUCAAAACUCUAGCAAAGACAAAGCAUUUGUUAUUUAAUAUGUGAUAACCUGGCUGAAUUAGAGACCAGGCUUCCCUCCUAGGUUUAGUUAGCAUGAUGUCACUUUGUAUUUAUACAAGGCUUGGUUCCACAAAAAGAGACUGGGAUUUGUUUGGGGUUUUUUGGUAAACUAACUGGCAUACAAACACAAAUACUGCUCAGUCUAGCCAUAUUGUGGCUGGUUUCCCAACUCCUCCCCCCAUCCUGCCACACACUCCUGUGCUUUAUUAAUGUGUAGCAUUAAUACCAGAGAGACAUACAGUGGCUUCCAGGUAAUGGGAGGAAAAACUUCUGGUGUGUGGCUAAAUAAAAUUAGUGGCACAGCAGAUGUAUAAGUAGGAGGAGACUGCUGAGAAAUUCUUAUAUUUGGACCAGACUGAGAACAUACAUUAGCACCCUACUCCUUGAAAAUGUCUCCAUCCACUGUGGUUCUUGGAAAAGCUUCAGCCACUGGAUGCACAAGAAAUUUACAGUUCCCAAGAUCGCACUGUAACGGUCAUAACUCUCACCCUCACCUUUGGCUCAACCCUAGAAGGAGAUAAUGAGGCAAAAAGUGUCGUGUUUCCAGAGCCUGGCUCGGACCACCACCAACAGUAACUUGCUAAUGGAACCCUGGAGAAGCGAGACGGUGUUGUUAUAGGGCAGCAGGAAGGCUCUCUUUUUCCUCUAUCAUGGAUCAUUUCCCUGGUAGGUGCCAAGAGCUCCCUUAUAAACUAACUUCAAGGAAGGAGAGGAUUUGCUAAUCAAAUUGCAUAAAGACUCAUUAAAAUAAUGAUCAACUAUUAUUACUCUGUGUCAGUGUGAGUAAUUGACAGCCAUCAGAUAACCACAUGCCUUGUUUAACUCCAACUGAAAAUGGUUUUAUAUAUCCGUUCCUAAAGGGAGAGGGAGGGGAGGUGAACCAGA
Chrysemys picta bellii (western painted turtle) is the source of this 1885-nucleotide non-coding RNA. NCBI's taxonomy places the organism in Eukaryota, Metazoa, Chordata, Testudines, Emydidae. The record is from RefSeq and is a predicted model, not a curated record.